UGGUCUAUAGCACAAUUGGCAGUGCAGCCGACUGUUAAUCGGCAGGUUGCAGGUUCGAGUCCUGCUAGACCAG
RNAcentral lists this transfer RNA (73 nucleotides) under Klebsiella pneumoniae. RNAcentral's name for it is "tRNA-Asn". It matches the Rfam family "tRNA". Rfam says of the family: Transfer RNA (tRNA) molecules are approximately 80 nucleotides in length. Their secondary structure includes four short double-helical elements and three loops (D, anti-codon, and T loops). Further hydrogen bonds mediate the characteristic L-shaped molecular structure. tRNAs have two regions of fundamental functional importance: the anti-codon, which is responsible for specific mRNA codon recognition, and the 3' end, to which the tRNAs corresponding amino acid is attached (by aminoacyl-tRNA synthetases). tRNAs cope with the degeneracy of the genetic code in two manners: having more than one tRNA (with a specific anti-codon) for a particular amino acid; and 'wobble' base-pairing, i.e. permitting non-standard base-pairing at the 3rd anti-codon position. Lineage: Bacteria; Pseudomonadati; Pseudomonadota; Gammaproteobacteria; Enterobacterales; Enterobacteriaceae. RNAcentral also lists the same sequence under 1 other name. The record is from RNAcentral.